RNAcentral lists this non-coding RNA (29 nucleotides) under Mus musculus (house mouse). The record is from RNAcentral. Lineage: Eukaryota; Metazoa; Chordata; Mammalia; Rodentia; Muridae.
UGAAAGUCCCAUCCUCAGGUUUACCUGGC